AUGUCAGAUUCAGAACCUAAAGACCCGAACAAAGGAAGGAACUACUUCGUCACAGCCUCGAUAGGCGAAGGCGAGUUCUACUGCCAAUGCUGCAAGUUCGAACGGGACGGCAUUGUGUGCUGUCACAUACUAAAAGUAAUGAACGUGAAUGCUGUGACACGGAUGCCCCGACAUUUCAUAAGGCGGCGAUGGACUUGGGACACUAACGAUGCGUUGGCACCGCAAACAACACACGCAGUUCUGGCUGUGCAUGACGAGAGACCAGAGUCAACCAUGGAAGCCGUGAGGCACGUUGUGCUGACAAAAAACUAUGCUGAGCUAAUUGAUGAAGCGUGCAAGAGUGAUGACAUAGCGAGAGUCGCAGAAAAACACAGGAAAGCACUAAAAAGAGAGCUUGAUGAGAUCAAGAAGAGGAAAGCCGAGGAAGCCUUACACCGGUUCCCCCGCACAUCAAGUGUGCCUUCAUCCACAGGGCCGUCGUCUGAAAACUCGGAGAUAGGAUCUGGAACAGCAAGCACACAGACCCAGGUCAGGAACCCACCCCGUUCCAUCACAAAGGGUCGUCCAAGAGAGAUAAGUUAG
Molecule: ribosomal RNA, 582 nt
Filed under: Triticum aestivum (bread wheat)
Lineage: Eukaryota; Viridiplantae; Streptophyta; Magnoliopsida; Poales; Poaceae
Description: partial small subunit ribosomal RNA
Source: RNAcentral